RNAcentral lists this ribosomal RNA (640 nucleotides) under uncultured Vibrionaceae bacterium. Its description in RNAcentral is "bacterial SSU rRNA". It matches the Rfam family "Bacterial small subunit ribosomal RNA", at positions 39 to 671 of the family's 1533-position model. The record is from RNAcentral. Lineage: Bacteria; Pseudomonadati; Pseudomonadota; Gammaproteobacteria; Vibrionales; Vibrionaceae.
GCGGCAGGCUUAACACAUGCAAGUCGAGCGGUAACAGAAAUAGCUUGCUAUUUGCUGACGAGCGGCGACGGGUGAGUAAUGCCUGGGAAUAUACCCUGAUGUGGGGGAUAACUAUUGGAAACGAUAGCUAAUACCGCAUAAUCUCUUCGGAGCAAAGAGGGGGACCUUCGGGCCUCUCGCGUCAGGAUUAGCCCAGGUGGGAUUAGCUAGUUGGUGAGGUAAUGGCUCACCAAGGCGACGAUCCCUAGCUGGUCUGAGAGGAUGAUCAGCCACACUGGAACUGAGACACGGUCCAGACUCCUACGGGAGGCAGCAGUGGGGAAUAUUGCACAAUGGGGGAAACCCUGAUGCAGCCAUGCCGCGUGUAUGAAGAAGGCCUUCGGGUUGUAAAGUACUUUCAGUUGUGAGGAAGGCAGUUAAGUUAAUAGCUUAGCUGUUUGACGUUAGCAACAGAAGAAGCACCGGCUAACUCCGUGCCAGCAGCCGCGGUAAUACGGAGGGUGCGAACGUUAAUCGGAAUUACUGGGCGUAAAGCGCAUGCAGGUGGUCUGUUAAGCAAGAUGUGAAAGCCCGGGGCUCAACCUCGGAACAGCAUUUUGAACUGGCAGACUAGAGUACUGUAGAGGGGGGUAGAAUUUCA